AGUGAACGCUGGCGGCAGGCCUAAUACAUGCAAGUCGAACGGCAGCACAGCAGAGCUUGCUCUGUGGGUGGCGAGUGGCGGACGGGUGAGGAAUACAUGGGAAUCUGCCCAGUCGUGGGGGAUAACGUAUGGAAACGUACGCUAAUACCGCAUGCGCCCUAAGGGGGAAAGCCGGGGACCGCAAGGCCUGGCGCGAUUGGAUGAGCCCAUGUUCGAUUAGCUAGUUGGCGGGGUAAAGGCCCACCAAGGCGACGAUCGAUAGCUGGUCUGAGAGGAUGAUCAGCCACACUGGAACUGAGACACGGCCCAGACUCCUACGGGAGGCAGCAGUGGGGAAUAUUGGACAAUGGGGGGAACCCUGAUCCAGCAAUGCCGCGUGUGUGAAGAAGGCCUGAGGGUUGUAAAGCACUUUCAGUGGGGAGGAGGUUUAUUUGGUUAAGAGCUGAGUAGAUGGAC
RNAcentral lists this ribosomal RNA (456 nucleotides) under uncultured bacterium. Its description in RNAcentral is "bacterial SSU rRNA". It matches the Rfam family "Bacterial small subunit ribosomal RNA", at positions 30 to 477 of the family's 1533-position model. The record is from RNAcentral.